This is a long non-coding RNA of Fukomys damarensis (Damara mole-rat), 595 nucleotides long. RefSeq lists it as uncharacterized. Lineage: Eukaryota; Metazoa; Chordata; Mammalia; Rodentia; Bathyergidae. The record is from RefSeq and is a predicted model, not a curated record. The transcript has 3 exons.
GAAAACAAGAAAAAUCGGAGAGAGCCCUUUGGCGGAAGUUGACUAGAUGGCGGGGAAGGCCCGGGAUCGCGGCUGCUUUGUUGUGCUUCUUAGUGCAUUACACAGGUCUGGCGUCCCCGUCGGACCCUCUCACACAAGGUGACUCACUUCCUUUUCCGGGUGCUGGAUGAAGCCUCCACCAGACACAGAGCCCUCUGGAGACUGCAUCCGGGUCAAAGGGCACAGAGCACAGAGGCCGCCUCACCUGGAGACAGCGAAGGAAUCCGGCCUUCUUCAAAGAGGCCGUCAGAGAAGAGGUGGUGAUGAACGCUAAUAGGAGCCGUGAACAGAAUCUUAAUACUGGAGCUCCACAAAAGAGCUGCGUGUGUGUCCUCUCGUCAUUCUGCCCCCACCCGUCUGCCCUUCAGCGGAAAUAACAUCAGAUUCUUCGCACAGGAUACUGCCACACAUUCAGAGGCGGCUCUUCAAGUUUGUGAAAGUGUAUUAAGGUUUCUGAAUUAAAAUAGAAACCCACCCUUCGUUUCUGCUUGCUAAAUUUAUCUGGACACAAACUGGCUUUUCUCAGUAGGUGGAGGAAGACCUAGUGACGCUUGCU